Long non-coding RNA from Anolis carolinensis (green anole), 824 nucleotides. RefSeq lists it as uncharacterized. The record is from RefSeq and is a predicted model, not a curated record. Lineage: Eukaryota; Metazoa; Chordata; Lepidosauria; Squamata; Anolidae. The transcript is spliced from 2 exons.
UUUGAGUAGCACAUCUCACAGGUGUGGGUAGGUCUCCUGUGAUUGUGUCUGAGGGUGUGUUCUCUGGAGUCUGGCUGAAAUGGAGGGGGAUUCAGCUGUGUCUCCUGGCAAAGGGCCAGAGAAGGGCUCUGGGCAAGUCUUCUGCUCCUUCGGGGGAGGCAGGCUCUGCAUUGUCGGCAGCGGAGUAUCGAAUGCAUGAGAAGCUGAAGUUUCCUGUUGACAAGGAGAGAUGGAAGGAGAGGGGGAAGAAGAGAAUGAACAAAGGAAGAAAAUAAAGUCUGCCUGCUCUUAGUCCUCCUUGAUCAACACUCCAACCCCUUCCCAACAUUGUACCUUCCCACAUGGAAUUGAGAAGAGCAAGCAAAUAUGGAACAUAUAUGGCAGAAGUAUUUCACAAUUCCCUCCAGGCCCAUACUCACCUAUACUCAUUCCUAUCAGUUCUAUCUGAUGUUCUGAUCAAUUAAAAUGUAGCCUCAGAAUUGCAACACACCAUAUAUGUGUAUUGUAGCAGCUCAGAGUUCGAAAUGUUGUUGUUGUUGCUGGGGGUAGUCAAUGGCCAUGCUGCCCAAGAGAUUUUGGGAGUUGUUAUUUUUUUUUAAAAAAAAAAUCCUUUUGCAAUCUCUGUCACAAUCACAGGGGGAUCCAACUUCCACCUGCUUUACAUCUUGAAUCACAUAGUCUAAAUAUAUGCACAAUUAAUCUCUUGGCCCCUUUUGAAACUUAAGCUUUUUUUUUUUUUGCUUCAUUUGAUGUCUUGCAAACCCCGUGUACCAAACUUUGCUGCACUUAAAAGAACAGAUUAAAAAAUCUUUGUCUUGCAGCAA